RNAcentral lists this unclassified non-coding RNA (239 nucleotides) under uncultured Gaiellales bacterium. RNAcentral's name for it is "contains 16S-23S intergenic spacer region". It matches the Rfam family "Bacterial small subunit ribosomal RNA", at positions 836 to 1075 of the family's 1533-position model. Lineage: Bacteria; Bacillati; Actinomycetota; Thermoleophilia; Gaiellales. The record is from RNAcentral.
UCCGUCCGUGCCGAAGCUAACGCAUUAAGCACCCCGCCUGGGGAGUACGGCCGCAAGGCUAAAACUCAAAGGAAUUGACGGGGCCCCGCACAAGCAGCGGAGCAUGUGGUUUAAUUCGAUGCAACGCGAAGAACCUUACCAGGGCUUGACAUGCACUGGAAAACCGUAGAAAUACGGUCCUCCUUCGGGAUCAGUGCACAGGUGGUGCAUGGCUGUCGUCAGCUCGCGUCGUGAGAUGU